GCUUGCUACCUGACCUAGCGGCGGACGGGUGAGUAAUGCUUAGGAAUCUGCCUAUUAGUGGGGGACAACAUUCCGAAAGGAAUGCUAAUACCGCAUACGCCCUACGGGGGAAAGCAGGGGAUCUUCGGACCUUGCGCUAAUAGAUGAGCCUAAGUCAGAUUAGCUAGUUGGUGGGGUAAAGGCCUACCAAGGCGACGAUCUGUAGCGGGUCUGAGAGGAUGAUCCGCCACACUGGGACUGAGACACGGCCCAGACUCCUACGGGAGGUAGCAGUGGGGAAUAUUGGACAAUGGGCGAAAGCCUGAUCCAGCCAUGCCGCGUGUGUGAAGAAGGCCUUUUGGUUGUAAAGCACUUUAAGCGAGGAGGAGGCUACUUGGAUUAAUACUCUAGGAUAGUGGACGUUACUCGCAGAAUAAGCACCGGCUAACUCUGUGCCAGCAGCCGCGGUAAUACAGAGGGUGCGAGCGUUAAUCGGAUUUACUGGGCGUAAAGCGUGCGUAGGCGGCUUUUUAAGUCGGAUGUGAAAUCCCUGAGCUUAACUUAGGAAUUGCAUUCGAUACUGGGAAGCUAGAGUAUGGGAGAGGAUGGUAGAAUUCCAGGUGUAGCGGUGAAAUGCGUAGAGAUCUGGAGGAAUACCGAUGGCGAAGGCAGCCAUCUGGCCUAAUACUGACGCUGAGGUACGAAAGCAUGGGGAGCAAACAGGAUUAGAUACCCUGGUAGUCCAUGCCGUAAACGAUGUCUACUAGCCGUUGGGGCCUUUGAGGCUUUAGUGGCGCAGCUAACGCGAUAAGUAGACCGCCUGGGGAGUACGGUCGCAAGACUAAAACUCAAAUGAAUUGACGGGGGCCCGCACAAGCGGUGGAGCAUGUGGUUUAAUUCGAUGCAACGCGAAGAACCUUACCUGGUCUUGACAUAGUAAGAACUUUCCAGAGAUGGAUUGGUGCCUUCGGGAACUUACAUACAGGUGCUGCAUGGCUGUCGUCAGCUCGUGUCGUGAGAUGUUGGGUUAAGUCCCGCAACGAGCGCAACCCUUUUCCUUAUUUGCCAGCGGGUUAAGCCGGGAACUUUAAGGAUACUGCCAGUGACAAACUGGAGGAAGGCGGGGACGACGUCAAGUCAUCAUGGCCCUUACGACCAGGGCUACACACGUGCUACAAUGGUCGGUACAAAGGGUUGCUACCUAGCGAUAGGAUGCUAAUCUCAAAAAGCCGAUCGUAGUCCGGAUUGGAGUCUGCAACUC
RNAcentral lists this ribosomal RNA (1240 nucleotides) under uncultured Acinetobacter sp. RNAcentral's name for it is "bacterial SSU rRNA". It matches the Rfam family "Bacterial small subunit ribosomal RNA", at positions 78 to 1313 of the family's 1533-position model. Lineage: Bacteria; Pseudomonadati; Pseudomonadota; Gammaproteobacteria; Moraxellales; Moraxellaceae. The record is from RNAcentral.